GGCGAACGCUGGCGGCGUGCUUAACACAUGCAAGUCGAGCGGUAAGGCCCUUUCGGGGGUACACGAGCGGCGAACGGGUGAGUAACACGUGGGUGACCUGCCCUCAGCUCUGGGAUAAGCCUGGGAAACCGGGUCUAAUACUGGAUAUGACUCCAUGACGCAUGUUGUGGGGUGGAAAGCCUUGUGCGGCUGAGGAUGGGCCC
RNAcentral lists this ribosomal RNA (203 nucleotides) under uncultured bacterium. Its description in RNAcentral is "partial 16S ribosomal RNA". It matches the Rfam family "Bacterial small subunit ribosomal RNA", at positions 28 to 232 of the family's 1533-position model. The record is from RNAcentral.